Ribosomal RNA from Cavia porcellus (domestic guinea pig), 92 nucleotides. The record is from Ensembl. NCBI's taxonomy places the organism in Eukaryota, Metazoa, Chordata, Mammalia, Rodentia, Caviidae.
GUCUACAGCCACACCACCCUGAAUGCGCCCGAUCUCAUCUGAUCUCGGAAGCUAAGCAGGGUCCGGCCUGGUUAGUACUUGGACGGGAGACA